CAGAUUGAACGCUGGCGGCAGGCCUAACACAUGCAAGUCGAACGGCAGCACAGAAGAGCUUGCUCUUUGGGUGGCGAGUGGCGGACGGGUGAGUAAUGUCUGGGAAACUGCCCGAUGGAGGGGGAUAACUACUGGAAACGGUAGCUAAUACCGCAUAACGUCGCAAGACCAAAGUGGGGGACCUUCGGGCCUCACACCAUCGGAUGUGCCCAGAUGGGAUUAGCUAGUAGGUGGGGUAAUGGCUCACCUAGGCGACGAUCCCUAGCUGGUCUGAGAGGAUGACCAGCCACACUGGAACUGAGACACGGUCCAGACUCCUACGGGAGGCAGCAGUGGGGAAUAUUGCACAAUGGGCGCAAGCCUGAUGCAGCCAUGCCGCGUGUAUGAAGAAGGCCUUCGGGUUGUAAAGUACUUUCAGCGGGGAGGAAGGCGGUGAGGUUAAUAACCUUGCCGAUUGACGUUACCCGCAGAAGAAGCACCGGCUAACUCCGUGCCAGCAGCCGCGGUAAUACGGAGGGUGCAAGCGUUAAUCGGAAUUACUGGGCGUAAAGCGCACGCAGGCGGUCUGUUAAGUCAGAUGUGAAAUCCCCGGGCUUAACCUGGGAACUGCAUUUGAAACUGGCAGGCUUGAGUCUCGUAGAGGGGGGUAGAAUUCCAGGUGUAGCGGUGAAAUGCGUAGAGAUCUGGAGGAAUACCGGUGGCG
RNAcentral lists this ribosomal RNA (703 nucleotides) under Pantoea dispersa. Its description in RNAcentral is "bacterial SSU rRNA". It matches the Rfam family "Bacterial small subunit ribosomal RNA", at positions 25 to 717 of the family's 1533-position model. Lineage: Bacteria; Pseudomonadati; Pseudomonadota; Gammaproteobacteria; Enterobacterales; Erwiniaceae. The record is from RNAcentral.